AGCUCAGCAUAUACGGUUCAGUCCAAAAUUUAUCACGCCAAAUGAUGGAAAUAGACUCUGAGAAGCAUAAAGUUUCCAAGAUGAUGUUUCUUCAUUUUUCAGGAAUGCUUUCAUUCAGUUUCUUUAAGAGGCUUGAUUGUUUAGCAAAAGGCUGCUUGUUUGCUGUUAUAACUCUGCUGAAUUUAUUCAUCUUUGAAGAAGGUAAUUUGGAUAUAUUCCAGUCACUAGUUGAUCCAACUCCAGACUCCUUUUCAUAUGGAUUAUCGGCUGUUAGAAUCCAGGAGGCUGUAGUGGACAAGAGAUCUAGUCUUGUGGUUGCAUCAAAGUUUCAGAAGGCAAGGACUCUGUGUUCAAGUUCCAGAA
This 363-nucleotide unclassified non-coding RNA is filed under the name Hevea brasiliensis (rubber tree). Lineage: Eukaryota; Viridiplantae; Streptophyta; Magnoliopsida; Malpighiales; Euphorbiaceae. The record is from RNAcentral.